Rhincodon typus (whale shark) is the source of this 642-nucleotide long non-coding RNA. RefSeq lists it as uncharacterized. The record is from RefSeq and is a predicted model, not a curated record. Lineage: Eukaryota; Metazoa; Chordata; Chondrichthyes; Orectolobiformes; Rhincodontidae. The transcript has 3 exons.
UGUUUAACCCCACAGGCUUUAGGCACCGCCCUCUCCAUUGGCCAGCUCGGUGGUAAAGUUGAAAGUUCAAGGGUUGCAGAUUCCUUUUCGCAACACCCGAGAAAGAAUUUGGGAGGAACGGCAGUUUUAUUCCAGAUUUGUCGAAAGGCUAUGGAAUUGCUGACUGUCUUGGAGCCAGGGGAAACGCCCCAAAUAGCAACAUGAAAAAGAAACUUCACCGGAGCUGACCACGUGUAGGACUCUCCAGAACGAAUGCACAACUUAUUUUUUAAAAAACUGUUUGAUUUUUUUUCAAAACAAAGACCUUUGCAAUGUUAACAAAGAACUCUAAAACGCAUAUAGACUUUUUUACUUUCUGAAUUAAUAAUAAAAAAGCUCAGCUGUCCACUGUAGACCCUUAAAAAAUACCGUUCCAAAAAAAGUCAGUUUGAAAAAAAUUUUUUGUUUGGUUUUUGUCUUUUUUAAUGUUAAUAAACAAAAUUUUAAAAACUGAUUAGUAAAUUAUAAUGACUAUAGUUACUGUAAAACUGUAAAAAAGAACUAGAAUGAAACUUUAACUAAGCCUGCAAUCCCAGGAGCAGCUGCAAGAUCCACAUAGCUCACUUUUAUGUUUUGUAAGAUUCAAUAAUCAAGACCAGCAGA